RNAcentral lists this ribosomal RNA (774 nucleotides) under uncultured Neocallimastigales. Its description in RNAcentral is "partial large subunit ribosomal RNA". It matches the Rfam family "Eukaryotic large subunit ribosomal RNA", at positions 26 to 628 of the family's 3401-position model. Lineage: Eukaryota; Fungi; Neocallimastigomycota; Neocallimastigomycetes; Neocallimastigales. The record is from RNAcentral.
CGCAUCUGUGCAUGCAGAAUAUCAAUAAGCGGAGGAAAAGAAACUAACAAGGAUUCCCCUAGUAACGGCGAGUGAAGCGGGAAGAGCUCAAAUUUGAAAUCUUAAAGGGUUUCCCUUUACGAAUUGUAGUUUAAAGAAGUGUUUUCUGUUGAGGUUUUGGUAAAAGUUCUUUGGAAUAGGACAUCAUAGAGGGUGAGAAUCCCGUAUUUGACCUUUACUUUCAACUUUGUGAUACACUUUCAAAGAGUCGGAUUGUUUGGGAAUGCAGUCCAAAAUGGGUGGUAAAUUUCAUCUAAAGCUAAAUAUUGGCGAGAGACCGAUAGCGAACAAGUACCGUGAGGGAAAGAUGAAAGGAACUUUGAAAAGAGAGUUAAACAGUACGUGAAAUUGUCAAAAGGGAAGCGUUUGACACCAGUGUUGUUUUUCUGAAAAUCAAUUAAAGAACUGUUUAUGCUAAGCUGUUUAGACUUUAUCAGCUAUCUGUUUAGUUUUGAGCUUUCCUUUAAUGCACUUUUCAGUUAACAAGUCAACAUCAAUUUCUUUUGCUGUAAAAAAGCUUGAGGAAGGUGGCUUGAGAUUCGUCUUAAGUGUUUAUAGCCUCUUGCCUAUGCAGUCGGAGAGAUUGAGGUCUGCAGCGUAGAUCCUUCGGGGCUAAAUGCAUUUGUGCUAAGUUAUAGCAUUUUAUAGACAACUUGUUGACUAUGAUUUGUCUUGUAGCUUACUCGCUUAUGUUAUUUUACCUACGCUUAGGAUGUUGAGUCGUAGAGCACGCAG